AGGUUGCCCAUGGUGUGUUCAUUUUAUUUAUGAUGAGUAUUACAUGGCCAAUCUCC
RNAcentral lists this microRNA precursor (56 nucleotides) under Mus musculus (house mouse). The record is from RNAcentral. Lineage: Eukaryota; Metazoa; Chordata; Mammalia; Rodentia; Muridae.